RNAcentral lists this ribosomal RNA (737 nucleotides) under Malassezia japonica. RNAcentral's name for it is "LSU rRNA". It matches the Rfam family "Eukaryotic large subunit ribosomal RNA", at positions 56 to 790 of the family's 3401-position model. Lineage: Eukaryota; Fungi; Basidiomycota; Malasseziomycetes; Malasseziales; Malasseziaceae. The record is from RNAcentral.
GGCAGACUACAGGAUUCCCCUAGUAACGGCGAGUGAAGCGGGAAGAGCUCAAAUUUGAAAGCUGGUACCUUUGGUGCCCGCGUUGUAAUCUCGAGACGCGUUUUCCGCGCGGCGCUAUGGACAAGUUCCUUGGAACAGGACAUCGUAGAGGGUGAAAAUCCCGUACUUGCCAUGGAUGCACCGUGCUUUGUGAUACGUGCUCAAAGAGUCGAGUUGUUUGGGAUUGCAGCUCAAAAUGGGUGGUAGACUCCAUCUAAAGCUAAAUAUCGGGGAGAGACCGAUAGCGAACAAGUACCGUGAGGGAAAGAUGAAAAGCACUUUGGAAAGAGAGUUAAAAGUACGUGAAAUUGUCGAAAGGGAAGCGCUUGAAGUCAGCCAUGCCGCUCAGGACUCAGCCUGGCUUUUGCUUGGUGUACUUCCUGGGUAGCAAGUCAGCAUUGGUUUGGACCGUCGGAGAAGCAUGGCAGGAAUGUGACGCCCUCGGGCGUGUUAUAGCCUGCCAUUGGAUACGCCGGUCUAGACCAAGGAACGCAGUGCGCCUUACGGCGGGUCUUCGGACACCUUCGCACUUAGGAUGCUGGCGUAAUGGCUUUAAGCGGCCCGUCUUGAAACACGGACCAAGGAGUCUAACAUAUGUGCGAGUUUUUGGGUGGCAAACCCAUGAGCGUAAUGAAAGUGAAUGCAGGUGGGAUCCGCAAGGAGCACCAUCGACCGGCCGUGAUCUUCUGGGAUCGGUC